CUCAGGACGAACGCUGGCGGCGUGCUUAACACAUGCAAGUCGAACGAUGAACCUGGAGCUUGCUCUAGGGAAUUAGUGGCGAACGGGUGAGUAACACGUGAGUAACCUGCCCUUGACUCUGGGAUAACCUCCGGAAACGGAAGCUAAUACCGGAUACGACGCACGGAGGCAUCUCCUGUGCGUGGAAAGAACUUCGGUCAAGGAUGGACUCGCGGCCUAUCAGGUAGUUGGUGAGGUAACGGCCCACCAAGCCUACGACGGGUAGCCGGCCUGAGAGGGUGACCGGCCACACUGGGACUGAGACACGGCCCAGACUCCUACGGGAGGCAGCAGUGGGGAAUAUUGCACAAUGGGCGCAAGCCUGAUGCAGCAACGCCGCGUGAGGGACGACGGCCUUCGGGUUGUAAACCUCUUUUAGUAGGGAAGAAGCGAAAGUGACGGUACCUGCAGAAAAAGCACCGGCUAACUACGUGCCAGCAGCCGCGGUAAUACGUAGGGUGCGAGCGUUGUCCGGAAUUAUUGGGCGUAAAGAGCUCGUAGGCGGUCUGUCGCGUCUGCUGUGAAAACCCGAGGCUCAACCUCGGGCCUGCAGUGGGUACGGGCAGACUAGAGUGCGGUAGGGGAGAAUGGAAUUCCUGGUGUAGCGGUGGAAUGCGCAGAUAUCAGGAGGAACACCGAUGGCGAAGGCAGUUCUCUGGGCCGUAACUGACG
Molecule: ribosomal RNA, 711 nt
Filed under: Leifsonia sp. SMCC B0673
Lineage: Bacteria; Bacillati; Actinomycetota; Actinomycetes; Micrococcales; Microbacteriaceae
Description: bacterial SSU rRNA
Rfam family: Bacterial small subunit ribosomal RNA
Source: RNAcentral